UUUUCAGUUGUUUCAAGCUAAUGAAGCCGAGCUGCCUGCAAAUCCUGUGAUCCUCCCUGAUAACAGCCUAUGCUGUACCCUGAAUCAGCACACAAAAUUCUAACUAUCAAGCCAGGACCAGGAACGCAGCCCCCUCCAUGACACAGCUGUGAAAUCCUACCUCUAAAGCAGGAAUUUUUGGAGAAGCCGUGCAACCAAGCAGUCAGGAGACAGAGGAGAGCCAGCAGAAGGACAGGAAUGUCUUGCUGCUAUCUGACAGGGAUAGGAUCUUCUGACAGACGGGGAAGUGAGGUAUGUGCAGCUCCUUGGUAAGCCUCCCUUCCUGCCACAGCUCCAGGAACACAAAGGCCCUUUCUGUGAUUUGCCUCUCAUGCAUUAAUGAAUCCGGGAAGAUCACAGCCGUCUUCAGAGAAGGAAACAUAAAACCCCUUUCAGAGCACUUGGAAUGGCAUUUGGCAGUCUUCAAGAUAAGUUCACAUGUCUUUUCCCCCCAGUGGGAAUGAUAAUGAUAGUAUCAGCUCUUCUUGUAAUUCUGAAUGCACAGGAAGGGCUUUUUCAGACCCAUCCAGCUAGUGAAAACCACCUGGUUACAAGUCAGACUCUGUGGAUCACACACACGGUUCUAUUCUCUUCUCUCCCACAAAG
Long non-coding RNA from Zonotrichia leucophrys gambelii, 645 nucleotides. RefSeq lists it as uncharacterized. The record is from RefSeq and is a predicted model, not a curated record. The transcript has 3 exons. Lineage: Eukaryota; Metazoa; Chordata; Aves; Passeriformes; Passerellidae.